This 165-nucleotide non-coding RNA is filed under the name human gut metagenome. RNAcentral's name for it is "Lysine riboswitch". It matches the Rfam family "Lysine riboswitch aptamer". Rfam says of the family: Riboswitches are metabolite binding domains within certain messenger RNAs that serve as precision sensors for their corresponding targets. The record is from RNAcentral.
UGAUAGAGGUGCGGACUUCAUCAGUAGCAUCGGCACAUCCCACGAUGAGGGACGAUGUAAAAGGGGAGCGCCGCCGAAGGGGCGAGGGACAUCAUCGAAGUUCUCCGUCUCUGGGGUGCGGGAUAACAUCACGCGCACUGUCGCCUCCAGGCGGAGAGCUAUCGU